This 810-nucleotide long non-coding RNA is filed under the name Vigna radiata. Its description in RNAcentral is "long non-coding RNA (VRAD_LNC004680)". Lineage: Eukaryota; Viridiplantae; Streptophyta; Magnoliopsida; Fabales; Fabaceae. The record is from RNAcentral.
UUUCAUGAUAGUUGGUUUUAUCCUGCAUGUUUUCGAAAAAGUUUGAGAUUUUUAAACUUUUUUCUUGUCCUAUUAUACCUUUUAUACCUUCCUAGAUACUACUCAGGCAAAAUCUUUUGCUUAUGAAAAGAAAAGGCAGCAUACUUGUACUUGCUUUUUAGUACUUAAAUAUUAUGAUAUAUGUAAUUUACAUGUUUUGUGGAUAUUAAAAGCUUAAUAUAGAAAAUGGUCCCCCAGUUAUUCUGCCUUAAUAUAAACCUUCGUUCUUAGAGAUAUUGGUAAAUCCUUCAUUUUUUUUUCUUAUUCUUUCUGCUUUAUUUUAUGAUUGGAGUGAUGACUGAAGUUAGAUUCUGUUAAAUUUUCCUGUUUGUUUGGAAAUCAGGAAUUUGGGGUAAUAGUGACAUAAUCCUUUGUUCUUUUGUACUGCAAUCCAAAUAAAUAUUUUAUGAUUUCUUAUGAUUAGAGAAUUGCUCUUUCUUUCUUUCUCUUUUUACUUUUUUCUUCCUUUUUUAUCCUUUGGAACAAUAGAGUAGAAUGUUGUUAUUGGUUUUUAGCUUUCAGUGCUUCUAUAGAUCAUGGAAUCCAUUAUUGCUUCUUGUUUUCAUUACAUGCAGUUAAUUUAUUACUUUGCUAACCCAUCAUUAUUAUUGUUUUCUAUUUUUCAGAUCUCUGAAGAACAAUGUAAUCAGACUAGUCUCUUUGGUUAAAAAUAGUCGAAGACUUGCGACUGUUGAUGAAAAUUUACCCAUGAAUCUUUACCUGGCUGCACCAUGAAAUUAGGUGACAUAUUGUUUAUUUAUGGUCCCUGCA